This 405-nucleotide ribosomal RNA is filed under the name uncultured bacterium. RNAcentral describes it as "bacterial SSU rRNA". It matches the Rfam family "Bacterial small subunit ribosomal RNA", at positions 355 to 776 of the family's 1533-position model. The record is from RNAcentral.
UGGGGGAUAUUGCACAAUGGGGGAAACCCUGAUGCAGCGACGCCGCGUGAGUGAAGAAGUAUUUCGGUAUGUAAAGCUCUAUCAGCAGGGAAGAAGCAAGACGGUACCUGACUAAGAAGCCCCGGCUAACUACGUGCCAGCAGCCGCGGUAAUACGUAGGGGGCAAGCGUUAUCCGGAUUUACUGGGUGUAAAGGGAGCGUAGACGGUAUGGCAAGUCUGAAGUGAAAGCCCAGGGCUUAACCCUGGGACUGCUUUGGAAACUGUUAGACUAGAGUGCUGGAGAGGUAAGUGGAAUUCCUAGUGUAGCGGUGAAAUGCGUAGAUAUUAGGAGGAACACCAGUGGCGAAGGCGGCUUACUGGACAGUAACUGACGUUGAGGCUCGAAAGCGUGGGGAGCAAACAGG